UGGGGAAUUUUGCACAAUGGGGGAAACCCUGAUGCAGCGACGCCGCGUGAUUUAGAAGGCCUUCGGGUUGUAAAAAUCUUUUUUACGGGAUGAAAAUGACAGUACCGUAAGAAUAAGGUCCGGCUAAAUACGUGCCAGCAGCCGCGGUAAUACGUAUGGACCGAGCGUUGUCCGGAAUCAUUGGGCGUAAAGGGUACGUAGGCGGCCUAGUAAGUUAGAAGUUAAAGAAUAUAGCUCAACUAUAUAAAGCUUUUAAAACUGCUAGGGUUGGGUGGUGGGAAGGAAACAAGAAAUUCUAGUGGAGGGGUGAAAUACGCAGGUAAUAGGAAGAAUUACAGUGACGAAGGCGACUUUCUGGUCAUCAUCUGACGCUGAGGUACGAAAGCGUGGGUAGCAAACAGG
Molecule: ribosomal RNA, 402 nt
Filed under: Bacteroidota bacterium
Lineage: Bacteria; Pseudomonadati; Bacteroidota
Description: Bacteroidetes bacterium partial 16S ribosomal RNA
Rfam family: Bacterial small subunit ribosomal RNA
Source: RNAcentral